GGAUUUAAUGAACGAGUUGCAUGAACCACUUUUAUGGUCCCGCUUUGUCAUUUUCGUUGAGUUAUGCGCUGUUGGGAAGCUGAUUGUGAGCCGGCACAGUAUAGUGAGAGCAGCAGCCUCAGCCCUGACAUCUGCCCAGCUCCUAAACAUUUCUCGUCCUGCUGUGUCCUUCUGUUCACCAGACCUCUGUCCUUCAAGUUUACAGCAGCAAGAUCCAAGAUGACGACCGCCUGCAAGAUCCAGCUAAGAAGUCAUGUUUGCCAGCCGUGCCGAAGACAAGCCUACCAGCUGCCCAGACAUUAAGCUUGCUGGCUGUGUCGUUGUCAAGUUCGCUGGCCACGGCUCACUCCAGCCUGCAAGUCGCUCCAAAGACAAGCCCUCAGGCAGCUCCGAAUUCAAGUUUGCCUGCUGCUCCAAAGACAAGC
This is a long non-coding RNA of Cyprinus carpio carpio, 425 nucleotides long. Lineage: Eukaryota; Metazoa; Chordata; Actinopteri; Cypriniformes; Cyprinidae. The record is from Ensembl.